GGGACACGUGGUAUCCUGUCUGAAUAUGGGGGGACCAUCCUCCAAGGCUAAAUACUCCUGACUGACCGAUAGUGAACCAGUACCGUGAGGGAAAGGCGAAAAGAACCCCGGCGAGGGGAGUGAAAAAGAACCUGAAACCGUGUACGUACAAGCAGUGGGAGCACCCUUUGGGGUGUGACUGCGUACCUUUUGUAUAAUGGGUCAGCGACUUAUAUUCUGUAGCAAGGUUAACCGAAUAGGGGAGCCGGAGGGAAACCGAGUCUUAACCGGGCGUUAAGUUGCAGGGUAUAGACCCGAAACCCGGUGAUCUAGCCAUGGGCAGGUUGAAGGUUGGGUAACACUAACUGGAGGACCGAACCGACUAAUGUUGAAAAAUUAGCGGAUGACCUGUGGCUGGGGGUGAAAGGCCAAUCAAACCGGGAGAUAGCUGGUUCUCCCCGAAAGCUAUUUAGGUAGCGCCUCGUGAAUUCAUCUCCGGGGGUAGAGCACUGUUUCGGCUAGGGGGCCAUCCCGGCUUACCAACCCGAUGCAAACUGCGAAUACCGGAGAAUGUUAUCACGGGAGACACACGGCGGGUGCUAACGUCCGUCGUGAAGAGGGAAACAACCCAGACCGCCAGCUAAGGUCCCAAAGUCAUGGUUAAGUGGGAAACGAUGUGGGAAGGCCCAGACAGCCAGGAUGUUGGCUUAGAAGCAGCCAUCAUUUAAAGAAAGCGUAAUAGCUCACUGGUCGAGUCGGCCUGCGCGGAAGAUGUAACGGGGCUAAACCAU
Molecule: ribosomal RNA, 770 nt
Filed under: Salmonella enterica
Lineage: Bacteria; Pseudomonadati; Pseudomonadota; Gammaproteobacteria; Enterobacterales; Enterobacteriaceae
Also listed under: 1 other name
Description: partial 23S ribosomal RNA
Rfam family: Bacterial large subunit ribosomal RNA
Source: RNAcentral